UCGGGAAUUUUGGACAAUGGGCGCAAGCCUGAUCCAGCCAUACCGCGUGAGUGAAGAAGGCCUUCGGGUUGUAAAGCUCUUUCAGACGGAAAGAAACGGUUACGGCUAAUACCCGUGACUAAUGACGGUACCGUAAGAAGAAGCACCGGCUAACUACGUGCCAGCAGCCGCGGUAAUACGUAGGGUGCGAGCGUUAAUCGGAAUUACUGGGCGUAAAGCGUGCGCAGGCGGUUUGGUAAGACAGAUGUGAAAUCCCCGGGCUUAACCUGGGAACUGCAUUUGUGACUGCCAGACUAGAGUGUAGCAGAGGGGGGUAGAAUUCCACGUGUAGCAGUGAAAUGCGUAGAUAUGUGGAGGAAUACCGAUGGCGAAGGCAGCCCCCUGGGCUAACACUGACGCUCAUGCACGAAAGCGUGGGGAGCAAACAGGAUUAGAUACCCCCGUAGUCCCUGAGCGGCUGGCAAGGCGCAU
This 471-nucleotide ribosomal RNA is filed under the name uncultured bacterium. RNAcentral's name for it is "bacterial SSU rRNA". It matches the Rfam family "Bacterial small subunit ribosomal RNA", at positions 355 to 825 of the family's 1533-position model. The record is from RNAcentral.